UGAAAAUUCAACGGAACACUAUUGCUUCAAGAUAUAAAAUAAAAAAAGGCCAUUCGGCAGCCGAAAUGGAAGGUAGAUUUUCCAAUUAAUCUAUAUAAAAAGUUUCAUACAUACAUAUCUUGUGAUACAUGUUAGUGUAUAGUCAUGAUAUGAAAUUAGGCUCGUUUUCUAAGAGUGAGAGUAAAAAAAGACAACGACUAUUUUCGAUAGAGAACUUCAGAUAGUUGAUUUGACAAAACAUUAUAUAGUGAUUAAAAACUGAUUUUUUCGAAAACUCGUGGAAAUUUCAAACAGCCAUGACUUCACAACUAUUCGAACGAUUCAGCCCAUCUUUGAACUCGAUCAAGAUAAUAGCCUAGAGAAUAAGUGUGGAAAAUUUCAUUAGGAUCCGAUAAGAACUGUAGAUGCUAUCGUAAUGACAAGACCAGUUAUAAUCAUACGUCGUAGAGGUUAUUUUGUGCACAAUAAAAUACAACUGACGAAAUUUGAUUAUAAUGGGAAAUGCAUAAAUGAUGUUGAAUGAAAACCAUAUUUUCAACAUUUUUUGAUUCCAUUAAAAUUUUCAAGGCUAUCAAAUUCAUUGAAGAAAUGGUCAAAACAUCAAGUUUACGGUCAUAAAUUAAAGCUUAUUAGACAAACUUUCAAAUACUUUUUACGAAAAUUAUCUAUGAGUUUUAGUUUUAAAGUUAUAUGAACUUGAAAGUGGAUAAAAUGUUUUUUUUUUUGAAAAAUCGUGGGAAUUUGAAACAGCCAUAUCUUCUAAACUAAUCAAACGAUUUAGCCCAUCUUCGAACUUAACCGUGGUUGUGACAAAAUUCCUUGAAAAAUCGACCAUGAGGACAAAUACAAUACCUAGAUUUUUAAAAAAAUCUACCUAAAAAUGUCGAAAAUAAUUUUUUUGAUAUCAAUUUUCGCAUUGGUUGUUAUCUAUCCUGGUGUAUAUGCAUCAUGUCCUGGCGGUUGGUGCCAUCCAUCAGCAGGAUACGGCUGCUGUAAAGGAAAUUCAUGCACUAGCUAUUUUGUUGAAGGUACAUGUACAACUUUCGAAGAAGCAUUAAGAAAAUCAGUUGAGAAAGAGUAAUAAUUAUUACGGAGAGAAAUUUAUGGUCACCGUUCCUAGUACGCUUGUGAAAUAUCAUCCCAUACCGUUAUGGUUAUGAUUACUUGGAAUUAUGGAAUAUAGGCUCAUACUUUCUGGAAAAAGUUCCCAUCAUUAUGGUAACAGUUCCCAUAUCGCAUGUGAAAGAAUUAUGGUAAUGAUUACCGUACUCAUAUGAAUAGUUCCCAUAAGCAAAUAGGAACCAAUCCUAUAACUGUAUUGUAACGGUUCCUAAGUGCAUAUGGGAAUAAACCCUAUAUAUUAUGGUAACUAUUCCCAUAAUAUUAUGGUAAUCGUUCCCAUUAUACACUAAUGCAAAAAAUUAAAGGAGCAGAAAAAUUUUAUAAAUUUUUUAGUGAUUUUUGGA
Molecule: long non-coding RNA, 1466 nt
Organism: Microplitis mediator
Lineage: Eukaryota; Metazoa; Arthropoda; Insecta; Hymenoptera; Braconidae
Exons: 6
Source: RefSeq, a predicted model, not a curated record